RNAcentral lists this ribosomal RNA (496 nucleotides) under uncultured bacterium. RNAcentral describes it as "partial 16S ribosomal RNA". It matches the Rfam family "Bacterial small subunit ribosomal RNA", at positions 28 to 506 of the family's 1533-position model. The record is from RNAcentral.
GAUGAACGCUGGCGGCGUGCCUAAUACAUGCCAGUCGAGCGAACAGACGAGGAGCUUGCUCCUCUGACGUUAGCGGCGGACGGGUGAGUAACACGUGGAUAACCUACCUAUAAGACUGGGAUAACUUCGGGAAACCGGAGCUAAUACCGGAUAAUAUAUUGAACCGCAUGGUUCAAUAGUGAAAGACGGUUUUGCUGUCACUUAUAGAUGGAUCCGCGCCGCAUUAGCUAGUUGGUAAGGUAACGGCUUACCAAGGCGACGAUGCGUAGCCGACCUGAGAGGGUGAUCGGCCACACUGGAACUGAGACACGGUCCAGACUCCUACGGGAGGCAGCAGUAGGAAAUCUUCCGCAAUGGGCGAAAGCCUGACGGAGCAACGCCGCGUGAGUGAUGAAGGUCUUCGGAUCGUAAAACUCUGUUAUUAGGGAAGAACAAAUGUGUAAGUAACUAUGCACGUCUUGACGGUACCUAAUCAGAAAGCCACGGCUAACUACGU